CUACGGGACGCUGCAGUGGGGAAUAUUGGACAAUGGGCGCAAGCCUGAUCCAGCAAUACCGCGUGUGUGAAGAAGGCCUGCGGGUUGUAAAGCACUUUCAAUUGUGAAGAAAAGCGAGAGGUUAAUAGCCUUUUGUCUUGACGUUAACUUUAGAAGAAGCACCGGCUAACUCUGUGCCAGCAGCCGCGGUAAUACAGAGGGUGCGAGCGUUAAUCGGAAUUACUGGGCGUAAAGCGUGCGUAGGCGGUUUAGUAAGUCAGAUGUGAAAGCCCUGGGCUCAACCUGGGAACUGCAUUUGAAACUGCUGAACUAGAGUGUGGUAGAGGGAAGUGGAAUUCCGGGUGUAGCGGUGAAAUGCGUAGAUAUCCGGAGGAACACCAGUGGCGAAGGCGACUUCCUGGACCAACACUGACGCUGAGGUACGAAAGCGUGGGUAGCAAACAGGAUUAGAUACCCUGGUAGUC
This 464-nucleotide ribosomal RNA is filed under the name uncultured bacterium. RNAcentral describes it as "partial 16S ribosomal RNA". It matches the Rfam family "Bacterial small subunit ribosomal RNA", at positions 339 to 795 of the family's 1533-position model. The record is from RNAcentral.